Molecule: ribosomal RNA, 631 nt
Filed under: Udeniomyces pyricola
Lineage: Eukaryota; Fungi; Basidiomycota; Tremellomycetes; Cystofilobasidiales; Mrakiaceae
Description: LSU rRNA
Rfam family: Eukaryotic large subunit ribosomal RNA
Source: RNAcentral
UUAAGCAUAUCAAUAAGCGGAGGAAAAGAAACUAACAAGGAUUCCCCUAGUAACGGCGAGUGAAGCGGGAUGAGCUCAAAUUUAAAAUCUGGCAGUCUAAGAUUGUCCGAGUUGUAGUCUAGAGAAGCGUUUUCCGCGUAGGCCUGUGUACAAGUCCCUUGGAAUAGGGCGUCAUAGAGGGUGAGAAUCCCGUCCUUGACACAGAUCAUCUAUGCUCUGCGAUGCGCUCUCGAAGAGUCGAGUUGUUUGGGAAUGCAGCUCAAAAUGGGUGGUAAAUUCCAUCUAAAGCUAAAUAUUGGCGAGAGACCGAUAGCGAACAAGUACCGUGAGGGAAAGAUGAAAAGCACUUUGGAAAGAGAGUUAAACAGUACGUGAAAUUGUUGAAAGGGAAACGAUUGAAGUCAGUCAUGUGGUUUGAGGUUCAGCCGGUUCUGCCGGUGUAUUCCUCAGACUACAGGCCAGCAUCAGUUUCGACCGGUGGAAAAAGUUGGAGGGAACGUGGCAUCCUCGGAUGUGUUAUAGCCCUCUUUCACAUGCAUCGGACGGGACUGAGGAACGCAGCGUGCCUUUAUGGUCGGUCUUCGGACACGAACGCGCUUAGGAUGCUGGCAUAAUGGCUUUAAACGACCCG